This 1471-nucleotide ribosomal RNA is filed under the name Kocuria rosea. RNAcentral's name for it is "partial 16S ribosomal RNA". It matches the Rfam family "Bacterial small subunit ribosomal RNA". The record is from RNAcentral. Lineage: Bacteria; Bacillati; Actinomycetota; Actinomycetes; Micrococcales; Micrococcaceae.
CUCGCCAAUUCGUCGACAACAGAGUUUGAUCCUGGCUCAGAUCGAAUUCUUAAACUUGGACCUGGGGUAGUGCCCCCGAAUUCUUAAACUUGGAUCCUGGGAGUGGGGGCGGGAGCCCUCAAGUGAACGUGGAAAUAUGAAUUACCUCUUACCGCAUGGUGGGUGGUGGAAUGUUUUAACUGGUUUUGGAUGGGCUCACGGCCUAUCAUCUUGUUGGUGGGGUAAUGGCUCACCAAGGCAACGACGGGUAGCCGGCCUGAAAGGGUGACCGGCCACACUGGGACUGAAACACGGCCCAAACUCCUACGGGAGGCAACAGUGGGUUAUAUUGCACAAUGGCCGGAAGCCUGAUGCAGCGACGCCGCGUGAGGGAUGACGGCCUUCGGUUGAAAACCUUUCCCAGUAGGGAAGAAGGCGGAAAGUGACGGUACCUGCAGAAGAAGCGCCGGCUAACUACGUGCCAGCAGCCGCGGUAAUACGUAGGGCGCAAGCGUUGUCCGGAAUUAUUGGGCGUAAAGAGCUCGUAGGCGGUUUGUCGCGUCUGCUGUGAAAACCCGGGGCUCAACCCCGGGUCUGCAGUGGGUACGGGCAGACUAGAGUGCAGUAGGGGAGACUGGAAUUCCUGGUGUAGCGGUGAAAUGCGCAGAUAUCAGGAGGAACACCGAUGGCGAAGGCAGGUCUCUGUGCUGUUACUGUCGCUGAGGAGCGAAAGCAUGGGGAGCGAACAGGAUUAGAUACCCUGGUAGUCCAUGCCGUAAACGUUGGGCACUAGGUGUGGGGGACAUUCCACGUUUUCCGCGCCGUAGCUAACGCAUUAAGUGCCCCGCCUGGGGAGUACGGCCGCAAGGCUAAAACUCAAAGGAAUUGACGGGGGCCCGCACAAGCGGCGGAGCAUGCGGAUUAAUUUGAUGCAACGCGAAGAACCUUACCAAGGCUUGACAUUCACCGGACCGCCCCAGAGAUGGGGUUUCCCUUUGGGGCUGGUGGACAGGUGGUGCAUGGUUGUUGUCAGCUCGUGUCGUGAGAUGUUGGGUUAAGUCCCGCAACGAGCGCAACCCUCGUUCUAUGUUGCCAGCACGUGAUGGUGGGGACUCAUAGGAGACUGCCGGGGUCAACUCGGAGGAAGGUGGGGAUGACGUCAAAUCAUCAUGCCCCUUAUGUCUUGGGCUUCACGCAUGCUACAAUGGCCGGUACAAAGGGUUGGGAUACUGUGAGGUGGAGCUAAUCCCAAAAAGCCGGUCUCAGUUCGGAUUGAGGUCUGCAACUCGACCUCAUGAAGUCGGAGUCGGUAGUAAUCGCAGAUCAGCAACGCUGCGGUGAAUACGUUCCCGGCCGAAUUACUCGCCACCCGACUUUGAUCCUGGUUCAGCCGAAUUCGUUGGCAACAGAGUUUGAUCCUGGCUCAGCCGAAUUCGUCGACAACAGAGUUUGAUCCUGGCUCAGCCGAAUCGUCGACAACAGAGCUGUCCUA